AUUUAAUACUUUUAUUCCAUUAAAAUACAUUUUUUAGCUAAUUUGAAGACUUUUUUAAAAUACUUUUCAAAUGAUUUAUCUAUUAGUCUUUAACGAAUAUGUUUUGUGCAUUAUAAUUCCAUGCAGUUCAAUCACGCUCAAAGAAAGAAAGGUAGAUGGGACCAGAUAAAAUAUUUUCUUGUGAUUUUUUUAGUGAUUUUUUUUUUGCUUAAUUGAUCUAGAACAAGUAUGAACUGGCUUUACUAGGGUCAAAAUAAUCAUAAUAAUGCCCAAUGGUCCUUUUAACAUGGAAGGCAUUAAAUUGUCAGUAUUUUACACUUCCCUAUUCUCAUUGUAAAAAUAUUGAAAAAUUUAAUGUCUACCAAUGUUGAAAAUCAGUCUUGUUUUAAAAACACAGCAAACAUUUCCUUUCACAUCUGCAGUUAAGGAAGCUCGCUUGUCAUGUUUUGGAAUUUUGGUAAGAUUUUCGGAAUCCUCUGGUUUUAUCCAUUUGAAUGCCUUAACAAAAUUUGCCUGGUGACCCCCAUUUUUCUUUUUAUAAUUCUUUUACACAUAUAAUGAUAAGCUGUCUGUUAAAUUCUUAUAAAAUUUUAAUUACUUUUUAAAAGUUUUUGAGGACUUAAACUUGUCAAUGACAAAGCUAUGAAAAGUCAAGAGAGAACAUUUUCCCGCAAAAAUUUCAAUAGCUAAUAUCUCGAAAACAACCACGGUGACCUAUAUAUUUUUUUUUGCUCUUUUGAUUCCUUUAUUAAUCCCCUAUCAAUAUAUGCUAGUGUUUUGAAAAGUUAAUUACUUUGAAACUGAGAAGCCAGCUCCCUUAAAAACAAAGUGUCAAUUGUUGUCUUGAGUUUUAUUAAAUGAAAUCAUAUUUGUUUAAAUCUUGAACAGUUGUUUUCAAUGGAUGUUUGAAACAAUUCCACAUUUCUCAUAUGUUUCCAAUGACAUAUGUAAUAGACUUUUUCAUUUUUUAGUUCACCUGGCCCGAGGGGCAAAGUGAGCUUUUCUCAUCACUUUGCGUCCGGCGUAGUCCGGAGUCGUCCGUCGUCGUUAACUUUUACAAAAGUCUUCUCUGAAACAACUGGGCCAAAUUAAACCAAACUUGGCCACAGUCAUCAUUAGGGUAUUGUGUUUAAAAAUUGUGUCCGGUGACCCAGCCAACCAACCAAGAUGGCCACCAUGGCUAAAAAUAGAACAUAGGGGUAAAAUAUAGUUUUUGGCUUAUAACUCAAAAACCAAAGCAUUUAGAGCAAAUCUGACAGGAUAAAAUUGUUUAUCAGGUCAAGAUCUAUCUGCCCUGAAAUAUACAGAUGAAUCCGACAACCC
This 1323-nucleotide long non-coding RNA is filed under the name Mytilus galloprovincialis (Mediterranean mussel). Lineage: Eukaryota; Metazoa; Mollusca; Bivalvia; Mytilida; Mytilidae. The record is from RNAcentral.